This 334-nucleotide unclassified non-coding RNA is filed under the name soil metagenome. RNAcentral describes it as "partial contains 5.8S ribosomal RNA, internal transcribed spacer 2, and large subunit ribosomal RNA". The stretch from base 1 to 120 matches the Rfam family "5.8S ribosomal RNA", at positions 35 to 154 of the family's 154-position model. The record is from RNAcentral.
GAUGAAGAACGCAGCGAAAUGCGAUAAGUAAUGUGAAUUGCAGAAUUCAGUGAAUCAUCGAAUCUUUGAACGCACAUUGCGCCCGCUAGUAUUCUGGCGGGCAUGCCUGUUCGAGCGUCAUUUCAACCAUCAAGCCCCAGGCUUGUGUUGGAGCCCUGCGGCUGCCGCAGCCUCCCAAAACCAGUGGCGGGCUCGCUAUCACACCGAGUGCAGUAGUUUACUCUUCGCUCAGGGCGUGUGGCGGGUGCUAGCCGUGAAACCCCCAACUUCUCAAGGUUGACCUCGGAUCAGGUAGGAAUACCCGCUGAACUUAAGCAUAUCAAUAAGCGGAGGA